GAAUUACUUGAAGUUCCUAAAACUCGUGUUAUAUGCUCUGUCCUGCAACUUGUAAAUCAGAUUGUUAAAGAUAAUACCGAUUUCUUGGAAAAUGCUUGUCUUGUUGGCUUGAUACCAGUAGUCAUGAGCUUUGCCGGACCUGAUCGUCCCCGGGAAGUUCGGAUGCAGGCAGCCUAUUUCUUGCAGCAGCUUUGUCAAUCAAGCCACUUGACGUUGCAAAUGUUUAUUGUGUGCCGUGGAAUACCUGUUUUGGUGGGCUUUCUAGAGGCUGAUUAUGCAAAAUACAGGGAAAUGGUUCAUCUGGCUAUUGAUGGCAUGUGGCAGGUCUUUAAGCUUCAGAGAUCUACCCCAAGAAAUGAUUUCUGUCGCAUAGCUGCAAAAAAUGGAAUAUUGUUGAGGCUUAUCAAUACACUUUAUAGUUUGAAUGAGGCAACUAGGCUAGCUUCUAUAUCAGUUGGAACUGGAUUUCCACUUGAUGGUUCAGUUCAACGACCACGUUCUGGUCCAUUGGAUCUGAAUCAUCCUAUUUUUAUUCAGAGUGAGGCAUCGCUUUCAGCAUCUGAACAGCCGGAAGUCCUUAAGGCUAGGCAUGGAGUGAUGGAGCAUCCCAUGUCAACUGGCACACAAGAACCUUCUCGUGCCUCUACUUCACAUUCGCAAAGGAUGGAUGUCAUUCAACCUGAUUCUAGAUGCAUUUUGCCAGAUACUGACAGACCUCAGUCUAGCAAUGCAGCACUGGAAACUUCAGCUGCUUUAGAAAAAGCUGGAAAUAUAGCUGCCAAAGAGUCUUCAGCAACUGCUUCCAAAGAGCGAGACAACCUAGAACGAUGGAAAGUUGAUUCAUCUCGAGCAGAAAUUGAUGUUCGACAGCAGCGAGUUGCUGGUUCCACUAAUAGGAUAUCUACUGAUAGGCCACCAAAAUUGAUUGAAAGUGCAUCUAAUGGUCUUCCUACUAUGAUGUCCACUCAGCCAGAGCAAGUUCGACCUCUUCUAAGCUUGUUGGAAAAAGAACCACCUUCCAAGCAUUUUUCUGGUCAGUUGGAGUAUGUUCGCCACAUCUCAGGGCUGGAGAGACAUGAAAGUAUUUUGCCUCUAUUACAUGCAUCUGUUGAAAAGAAAACCAAUGGUGAAUUAGAUUUUUUGAUGGCAGAAUUUGCAGAGGUAACAGGGCGUGGAAGAGAAAACGGAAAUCUAGACUCUACACCUAGAUCUUCACAUAAGACAGUAAACAAAAAACCGGGAACGCAGGCAUCUAACGAUGGAGCUGCUUCCACAUCUGGUAUUGCAUCUCAAACAACAUCAGGUGUACUGUCUGGUUCAGGUAUUCUGAAUGCUAGACCGGGGAGCGCAACAUCGUCUGGAUUACUUUCCCACAUGGUAUCAACAAUGAAUGCUGAUGUUGCUAGGGAUUACCUGGAAAAGGUGGCAGACCUUCUGCUUGAGUUUUCUCAAGCAGAUACAACUGUAAAAUCCUAUAUGUGUAGCCAAAGCUUGCUUAACCGUCUCUUUCAGAUGUUCAAUAGAAUUGAGCCACCUAUUCUUUUGAAGACACUCAACUGUAUAAAUAAUCUGUCAACUGACCCCAAUUGCUUAGAGAAUCUUCAGCGGGCAGAUGCAAUUAAGUUCUUGAUCCCAAAUCUUGAACUCAAAGACGGGCCUCUUGUAGGGCAAAUCCAUAAUGAGGUUCUCAAUGCACUAUUUAAUCUGUGCAAGAUAAAUAAGAGGAGACAGGAACAAGCUGCUGAAAAUGGAAUAAUUCCACAUUUGAUGAAUAUUAUUAUGACAGAUUCUCCCUUGAAGCAGUAUGCUUUACCUCUAUUGUGUGACAUGGCGCAUGCAUCUCGUAAUUCAAGAGAGCAACUAAGGGCCCAUGGUGGAUUGGAUGUGUACUUAAGCCUGCUUGAUGAUGUGUAUUGGUCAGUAACAGCAUUGGAUUCAAUUGCUGUUUGCUUGGCUCAUGAUAAUGACAACCGCAAAGUAGAACAAGCAUUGCUGAAAAAGGAUGCAGUUCAGAAAUUAGUGAAGUUCUUCCAGAGCUGUCCAGAGCAACAAUUUGUGCAUAUUUUGGAGCCAUUUUUGAAAAUUAUCACGAAAUCAUCCCGGAUAAAUACUACGUUAGCUGUUAAUGGUUUGACACCUUUGCUCAUUGCAAGGCUGGACCAUCAGGAUGCAAUAGCUCGUCUAAAUUUGCUUAAACUAAUAAAGGCUGUCUACGAGCAUCAUCCUCGGCCAAAGCAAUUGAUUGUGGAGAAUGAUUUGCCACAAAAACUUAAAAAUUUGAUUGAGGAACGCCGCGAUGGGCAAAGCUCAGGAGGCCAAGUGUUGGUGAAACAAAUGGCUACUUCUCUGCUUAAAGCACUUCACAUUAACACUGUUCUGUAAAUUCAUGUCACUCCAAUUUGUAUAUCAUGUUCUUUAGCAAGAAUUACUUUAGAUGCAUUAGUGCUUUUGUUUUUUCUUAAAAUUUGGUUUGCUUGUUCAUAUCUUCAAUCUUGUGGAUGCAACAAGAUCGGUGUGCCGUAUUUAUUGGAUAUGUUCCGAAGGCUCAAAGUUACAUGGGUGGUUGUCUUUUUUUCGCUUGGGUGGGCUGCUAUUGCUGCUUUUUUCUUUGUGGUUUAUGCUUUCCCCAC
This 2630-nucleotide unclassified non-coding RNA is filed under the name Hevea brasiliensis (rubber tree). Lineage: Eukaryota; Viridiplantae; Streptophyta; Magnoliopsida; Malpighiales; Euphorbiaceae. The record is from RNAcentral.